AUUGAACGCUGGCGGCAUGCUUUACACAUGCAAGUCGAACGGCAGCGCGGGCUUCGGCCUGGCGGCGAGUGGCGAACGGGUGAGUAAUGCAUCGGAACGUGCCCAGUAGUGGGGGAUAGCCCGGCGAAAGCCGGAUUAAUACCGCAUACGACCUGAUGGUGAAAGCGGGGGACCGAAAGGCCUCGCGCUAUUUGCGCGGCCGAUGUCGGAUUAGCUAGUUGGUGGGGUAAAGGCUUACCAAGGCGACGAUCCGUAGCUGGUCUGAGAGGACGACCAGCCACACUGGGACUGAGACACGGCCCAGACUCCUACGGGAGGCAGCAGUGGGGAAUUUUGGACAAUGGGGGCAACCCUGAUCCAGCCAUGCCGCGUGCGGGAAGAAGGCCUUCGGGUUGUAAAACGCUUUUGUUAGGGAAGAAAUCCUCUGGGCUAAUACCCCGGGGGGAUGACGGUACCGGAAGAAUAAGCACCGGCUAACUACGUG
Molecule: ribosomal RNA, 484 nt
Filed under: uncultured bacterium
Lineage: Bacteria
Description: partial 16S ribosomal RNA
Rfam family: Bacterial small subunit ribosomal RNA
Source: RNAcentral